This 75-nucleotide transfer RNA is filed under the name Candidatus Woesearchaeota archaeon. RNAcentral's name for it is "tRNA-Glu". It matches the Rfam family "tRNA". Rfam says of the family: Transfer RNA (tRNA) molecules are approximately 80 nucleotides in length. Their secondary structure includes four short double-helical elements and three loops (D, anti-codon, and T loops). Further hydrogen bonds mediate the characteristic L-shaped molecular structure. tRNAs have two regions of fundamental functional importance: the anti-codon, which is responsible for specific mRNA codon recognition, and the 3' end, to which the tRNAs corresponding amino acid is attached (by aminoacyl-tRNA synthetases). tRNAs cope with the degeneracy of the genetic code in two manners: having more than one tRNA (with a specific anti-codon) for a particular amino acid; and 'wobble' base-pairing, i.e. permitting non-standard base-pairing at the 3rd anti-codon position. The record is from RNAcentral. Lineage: Archaea; Nanobdellati; Candidatus Woesearchaeota.
GCUCCCCUAGUGUAGCCCGGUCAAUCACACAGCCCUCUCAAGGCUGUAACCCGAGUUCAAAUCUCGGGGGGAGCG